GACGAACGCUGGCGGCGUGCUUAACACAUGCAAGUCGAACGGAAAAGCCCUGCUUUUGUGGGGUGCUCGAGUGGCGAACAGGUGAGUAACACGUGAGUAACCUCCCCUUUACUUUGGGAUACCUUCAGGAAACUGGGGCUCAUACCGGAUAGGAGCUCCUGCUGCAUGGUUGGGGUUGUAAAGUUUCGGCGGUUGGGGAUGGACUCGCGGUUUAUCAGCUUGUUGGUGGGGUAGUGGCGUACCAAGGCUUUGACGGGUAGCCGGCCUGGGAGGGUGACCGGCCACAUUGGGACUGAGAUACGGCCCAGACUCCUACGGGAGGCAGCAGUGGGGAAUAGUGCACGAUGGGCGGAAGCCUGAUGCAGCAACGCCGCGUGCGGGAUGACGGCCGUCGGGUUGUAAACCGCUUUCGCCUGUGACGAAGAGUGAGUGACGGUAAUGGGUAAAGAAGCACCGGCUAACUACGUG
Molecule: ribosomal RNA, 468 nt
Filed under: uncultured bacterium
Lineage: Bacteria
Description: partial 16S ribosomal RNA
Rfam family: Bacterial small subunit ribosomal RNA
Source: RNAcentral